GGCGGGUGCUGUCCGACUUUCAACAGUCGCAGCGAGAAUGUCCUAGGAAACUAAACAACUUUUUAAACUGUCUUUCCAAAGAAUCAGGAUGCUGAGAAGUCAACCAGCUCCUGGAGGACUGACCGGAAGGGCACCUGGCCUCGGCCCGGGCGGCUCCCCAUUCGUUCCUCACUGCGCCCCUCAUCCCCACUCCCCCGGCCCUGCAGGGUGCCCCGUGGUGCUGACCAUGGCAUUGCCUGGACCCAUCAACUGGUAAAACACACGAGCCUUAGCAGAGAUACGAUUUCAUUCCUCACCAGAGGCCCUUGAGAUUUUAGGAUUCUAUCAACGCUAGUAAAGGAACUACUUGAACACGUUGCUUUGUACUGCUUUCCCUGACUGUAAAACAUUAAAGAAAUUCCAUAAGGAUGAAGAUAUUUUUCCGUUGUCUGCUGAAUCCCUGAAGCCUAGCAUGUGUAAGAAGACACAGAAUGCAUAUUCACUGUAUCAUUUAGUCCUGGGCUGCUGAGAGAAAAUGCAAUCUCUAUGACAAAGCCAGCUCCACCUUCUAUCGGUCCCCUACUGUUGGGUGAAUAGUCCUCCAAAUGCUGGCAGGAAGGGGAUUGACUGCUAAGGAAGGAAAUCUCAGGCACUUCUCAUAUCUGAAAGGAAGGCACAGGAAGAGCCGCAGGAUGGAACUCAGACUGGAUGAAACUGGGAAGAUUUUGCUAGACAGAAAUUAGAAACGCUCCUACAAAGAAACUGAAGUUCCAUGAACAUGCUGUUGCCACCC
RNAcentral lists this long non-coding RNA (772 nucleotides) under Homo sapiens (human). RNAcentral describes it as "non-protein coding lnc-SMIM21-1:1". The record is from RNAcentral. Lineage: Eukaryota; Metazoa; Chordata; Mammalia; Primates; Hominidae.